This 65-nucleotide transfer RNA is filed under the name Desertifilum tharense IPPAS B-1220. RNAcentral's name for it is "Desertifilum sp. IPPAS B-1220 tRNA". It matches the Rfam family "tRNA", at positions 6 to 65 of the family's 71-position model. From Rfam's summary of the family: Transfer RNA (tRNA) molecules are approximately 80 nucleotides in length. Their secondary structure includes four short double-helical elements and three loops (D, anti-codon, and T loops). The record is from Rfam by way of RNAcentral. Lineage: Bacteria; Bacillati; Cyanobacteriota; Cyanophyceae; Desertifilales; Desertifilaceae.
AGAAGCUUACAAACGGAAAGAGCAUUCGAUUGAAACUCGAAAUGUCAAAGGUUCAACUCCUUUCU